AAUUCUCUUCGGAGUAUAGUAAGGUGGCGGACGGGUGAGUAACACGUAAAGAACUUGCCCUGCAGUCUGGGACAACUAUUGGAAACGAUAGCUAAUACCGGAUAUUAUGCGAGAGCCGCAUGGCUCUUUCAUGAAAGCUAUAUGCGCUGCAGGAGAGCUUUGCGUCCCAUUAGUUAGUUGGUGAGGUAACGGCUCACCAAGACCGCGAUGGGUAGCCGGCCUGAGAGGGUGAACGGCCACAAGGGGACUGAGACACGGCCCUUACUCCUACGGGAGGCAGCAGUGGGGAAUAUUGGACAAUGGACCAAAAGUCUGAUCCAGCAAUUCUGUGUGCACGAUGACGGUCUUAGGAUUGUAAAGUGCUUUCAAUCGGGAAAAAGAAAGUGAUGGUACCGAUAGAAGAAGCGACGGCUAAAUACGUGCCAGCAGCCGCGGUAAUACGUAUGUCGCAAGCGUUAUCCGGAUUUAUUGGGCGUAAAGCGCGUCUAGGCGGUCUGGUAAGUCUGAUGUGGAAAUGCGGGGCUCAACUCCGUAUUGCGUUGGAAACUGCCAGACUAGAGUACUGGAGAGGUGGGCGGAACUACAAGUGUAGAGGUGAAAUUCGUAGAUAUUUGUAGGAAUGCCGAUAGAGAAGUCAGCUCACUGGACAGAUACUGACGCUGAAGCGCGAAAGCAUGGGGAGCAAACAGGAUUAGAUACCCUGGUAGUCCAUGCCGUAAACGAUGAUUACUAAGCGUCGGGGGUCGAACCUCGGCACUCAAGCUAACGCGAUAAGUAAUCCGCCUGGGGAGUACGUACGCAAGUAUGAAACUCAAAGGAAUUGACGGGGACCCGCACAAGUGGUGGAGCAUGUGGUUUAAUUCGACGCAACGCGAGGAACCUUACCAGCGUUUGACAUCCCUAGGAAUGAGAAAGAGAUUUUUCAGUGCUCCUUCCGGGAGAACCUAGAGACAGGUGGUGCAUGGCUGUCGUCAGCUCGUGUCGUGAGAUGUUGGGUUAAGUCCCGCCCCGAGCGCAACCCCUAUUGUAUGUUGCCAUCAUUAAGUUGGGCACUCAUGCGAUACUGCCUGCGACGAGCAGGAGGAAGGUGGGGAUGACGUCAAGUCAUCAUGCCCCUUAUAUGCUGGGCUACACACGUGCUACAAUGGGCAGUACAGAGAGAAGCAAAUCUGCGAGGAGGAGCAAACCUCAGAAAGCUGUUCGUAGUUCGGAUUGUACUCUGCAACUCGAGUACAUGAAGUUGGAAUCACUAGUAAUCGCAAAUCAGCAAUGUUGCGGUGAAUACGUUCUCGGGUCUUGUACACACCGCCCGUCACACCACGAG
Molecule: ribosomal RNA, 1324 nt
Filed under: uncultured bacterium
Lineage: Bacteria
Description: bacterial SSU rRNA
Rfam family: Bacterial small subunit ribosomal RNA
Source: RNAcentral